UACGGAGGGAGCUAGCGUUGUUCGGAAUUACUGGGCGUAAAGCGCACGUAGGCGGCUAUUCAAGUCGGGGGUGAAAGCCCGGGGCUCAACCCCGGAACUGCCCUCGAAACUAGAUAGCUAGAAUCUUGGAGAGGCGAGUGGAAUUCCGAGUGUAGAGGUGAAAUUCGUAGAUAUUCGGAAGAACACCAGUGGCGAAGGCGACUCGCUGGACAAGUAUUGACGCUGAGGUGCGAAAGCGUGGGGAGCAACCAGG
RNAcentral lists this ribosomal RNA (253 nucleotides) under uncultured bacterium. RNAcentral's name for it is "partial 16S ribosomal RNA". It matches the Rfam family "Bacterial small subunit ribosomal RNA", at positions 524 to 776 of the family's 1533-position model. The record is from RNAcentral.